UUCCCCUAGUAACUGCGAGUGAAGCGGGAAAAGCUCAAAUUUGAAAUCUGGUGGCUUUGGUCAUCCGAGUUGUAAUUUAGAGAAGCGUCUUCCGCGCUGGACCGUGCACAAGUCUCCUGGAAUGGAGCGUCAUAGAGGGUGAGAAUCCCGUCUUUGGCACGGACGCACCAGGGCUUCUGUGAUGCGCUCUCGAAGAGUCGAGUUGUUUGGGAAUGCAGCUCAAAAUGGGUGGUGAACUCCAUCUAAAGCUAAAUAUUGGCGAGAGACCGAUAGCGAACAAGUACCGUGAGGGAAAGAUGAAAAGCACUUUGGAAAGAGAGUGAAACAGUACGUGAAAUUGUUGAAAGGGAAACGCUUGAAGUCAGUCGCGUCGACCGAGACUCAGCCUUGCCUUGGCUUGGUGUACUUCUCGGCUGACGGGUCAGCAUCAAUUUUGCCCCUCGGAUAAUGGUGAGGGAAAUGUGGCACCUUUGCGGGUGUGUUAUAGUCCUUUGUCGCAUGCGAGGGUUGGGAUUGAGGAACUCAGCACGCGCCUUUAUGGUGUCGGGGCUCUGCCCACGAUACGUGCUUAGGAUGUUGGCGUAAUGGCUUUAAACGACCCGUCUUGAAACACGGACCAAGGAGUCCAACACGCCCGCGAGUGUUCGGGUGGAAAACCCGUGCGCGCAAUGAAAGUGAAAGUUGGGACCUCCGUCGUGGAGGGCACCGACGCCCGGACCAGACCUUCUGUGACGGAUCUGCGGUGGAGCGUGUGUGUUGGGACCCGAAAGAUGGUGAACUAUGCCUGAAUAGGGUGAAGCCAGAGGAAACUCUGGUGGAGGCUCGUAGCGAUUCUGACGUGCAAAUCGAUCGUCAAAUUUGGGUAUAGGGGCGAAAGACU
Molecule: ribosomal RNA, 880 nt
Filed under: Russula sp. 1 TM02_72
Lineage: Eukaryota; Fungi; Basidiomycota; Agaricomycetes; Russulales; Russulaceae
Description: eukaryotic LSU rRNA
Rfam family: Eukaryotic large subunit ribosomal RNA
Source: RNAcentral